CUCCCCAAAUAGACUCCUUAUAACAAACGCUCUGUGCAGCUUUUGCUUAGACUGUUACCCUAUCAAGGCAAAACAGAAAUGUGCAAGUGAUAUUGGAAGCGUGUAAUCACAGUAUCACUAUGGGAUACCACUCUGUGUGUAUCUUAGUGCUCAUCGCCAUCCUCACUGGUUGCAUCACAAAGUCAGCAUUAGCUCAGUGCAAUACCACCCAGGUUAAUGG
Molecule: long non-coding RNA, 220 nt
Organism: Polyodon spathula (Mississippi paddlefish)
Lineage: Eukaryota; Metazoa; Chordata; Actinopteri; Acipenseriformes; Polyodontidae
Exons: 4
Source: RefSeq, a predicted model, not a curated record